RNAcentral lists this ribosomal RNA (284 nucleotides) under uncultured bacterium. Its description in RNAcentral is "partial 16S ribosomal RNA". It matches the Rfam family "Bacterial small subunit ribosomal RNA", at positions 524 to 796 of the family's 1533-position model. The record is from RNAcentral.
UACGUAGGGGUGCGAGCGUUGUCCGGAAUUACUGGGGCGUAAAAGAGCUCGUAGGUGGUUUUGUCGCGUCGUCUGUGAAAUUCCGGGGGCUUAACUUCGGGCGUGCAGGCGAUACGGGCAUAACUUGAGUGCUGUAGGGGGAGACUGGAAUUCCUGGUGUAGCGGUGGAAUGCGCAGAUAUCAGGAGGAACACCGAUGGCGAAGGCAGGUCUCUGGGCAGUAACUGACGCUGAGGAGCGAAAAGCAUGGGGGAGCGAAACAGGAUUAGAUACCCCCGGUAGUCC